CAUGAAAGGGAUGUGUAAAAGUUUACAUUUACUUUUUAAUCAUUAGUCAAUCCUUUCAUGUUAUAUCACUUUUCAAAUAACAUAAAGCAUAUGUUGCGGUGUGUGGCUGGCAAAAACUAUAGGAUGAGAUAUUCAGUGUACCGCUUUACUGGUUUAGUACAGUUUCAAAAUAUUGAUAAGCAAACUAAACUGUUUGUUAAUGGCGCUCAUAUGAACAAAGUAUAAUCUAACUUAGCAUUUUAGAGUGUGAUGGAAUUGAAACAUGAAUAUCUCAGUCAUUGUGAAUAAACACAAUAAAACAUCACUUGUCCUUCCUACCGUACAGUUUACCUCUCACUUUUUCUCCCUUCUGGCUUGCUACCUAGAGGAAUCUGAGUUCCCAGUGGGUCACCAUGGAUACCGGUAGAGGUUCAGGGCCUGUCUCCAGAGUCGAUGGAGAAGAGAACCAACCCCACUGUGGCUGGAAGGGAGAAACAUCAUGUCUUAACAGGCCUGCCAAGGGACAACCCACAAUCCCCCAGACCCAACAUCCCUGGUGUGGAUCUCUACAUUUGGCUGGCAGGCGAUAAAUCAGAUAAAGAGGAUUUGCAUCAAAGGAGGAACUCUAUCAAGACUUUUGUGACCUUGGCCAAUAAAUUACACUGUGGUAACUGCACGACAAAGUCUUGGCCUUGUGGUGUGUUUU
This is a non-coding RNA of Paramisgurnus dabryanus, 685 nucleotides long. NCBI's taxonomy places the organism in Eukaryota, Metazoa, Chordata, Actinopteri, Cypriniformes, Cobitidae. The record is from RefSeq and is a predicted model, not a curated record.